GAUGAAGAACGCAGCGAAAUGCGAUACGUAAUGUGAAUUGCAGAAUUCAGUGAAUCAUCGAGUCUUUGAACGCACAUUGCGCCCCCUGGUAUUCCGGGGGGCAUGCCUGUCCGAGCGUCAUUGCUGCCCUCAAGCACGGCUUGUGUGUUGGGCCUCCGUCCUCCUCCCGGGGGACGGGCCCGAAAGGCAGCGGCGGCACCGCGUCCGGUCCUCGAGCGUAUGGGGCUUCGUCACCCGCUCUUGUAGGCCCGGCCGGCGCUUGCCGACACAUCAAUCUUUUUUCCAGGUUGACCUCGGAUAAGGUAGGGAUACCCGCUGAACUUAAGCAUAUCAAUAAGCGGAGGA
RNAcentral lists this unclassified non-coding RNA (345 nucleotides) under soil metagenome. RNAcentral describes it as "partial contains 5.8S ribosomal RNA, internal transcribed spacer 2, and large subunit ribosomal RNA". The stretch from base 1 to 120 matches the Rfam family "5.8S ribosomal RNA", at positions 35 to 154 of the family's 154-position model. The record is from RNAcentral.